Molecule: ribosomal RNA, 253 nt
Filed under: uncultured bacterium
Lineage: Bacteria
Description: partial 16S ribosomal RNA
Rfam family: Bacterial small subunit ribosomal RNA
Source: RNAcentral
CACGUAGGGGACGAGCGUUGUCCGGAUUCAUUGGGCGUAAAGCGCGCGUAGGCGGCUCGGAAAGUCGGUCGUGAAAUGCCGGGGCUCAACCCCGGGACUGCGUCCGAUACUUCCGGGCUGGAGGUAGGUAGGGGAGAUCGGAAUUCCUGGUGUAGCGGUGAAAUGCGCAGAUAUCAGGAGGAACACCGGUGGCGAAGGCGGUUCUCUGGGCCUGUACUGACGCUGAGGAGCGAAAGCGUGGGGAGCGAACAGG